GGCUCCAUAGUUUAGUGGUUAGCAUGUCUGCUUUACACGCAGAAGGUCCUGGGUUCGCACCCCAGGUGGAGCCA
This 74-nucleotide transfer RNA is filed under the name Pteropus alecto (black flying fox). It matches the Rfam family "tRNA". From Rfam's summary of the family: Transfer RNA (tRNA) molecules are approximately 80 nucleotides in length. Their secondary structure includes four short double-helical elements and three loops (D, anti-codon, and T loops). Further hydrogen bonds mediate the characteristic L-shaped molecular structure. tRNAs have two regions of fundamental functional importance: the anti-codon, which is responsible for specific mRNA codon recognition, and the 3' end, to which the tRNAs corresponding amino acid is attached (by aminoacyl-tRNA synthetases). tRNAs cope with the degeneracy of the genetic code in two manners: having more than one tRNA (with a specific anti-codon) for a particular amino acid; and 'wobble' base-pairing, i.e. permitting non-standard base-pairing at the 3rd anti-codon position. Lineage: Eukaryota; Metazoa; Chordata; Mammalia; Chiroptera; Pteropodidae. The record is from Rfam by way of RNAcentral. RNAcentral also lists the same sequence under 1 other name.